GCGGGCAUAGCUCAGUUGGUUAGAGCAUCAGAUUGUGAUUCUGAGGGUCG
This 50-nucleotide transfer RNA is filed under the name Cytophagales bacterium. Its description in RNAcentral is "tRNA-His". It matches the Rfam family "tRNA", at positions 1 to 47 of the family's 71-position model. From Rfam's summary of the family: Transfer RNA (tRNA) molecules are approximately 80 nucleotides in length. Their secondary structure includes four short double-helical elements and three loops (D, anti-codon, and T loops). The record is from RNAcentral. Lineage: Bacteria; Pseudomonadati; Bacteroidota; Cytophagia; Cytophagales.